Long non-coding RNA from Seriola aureovittata, 463 nucleotides. RefSeq lists it as uncharacterized. The transcript is spliced from 3 exons. The record is from RefSeq and is a predicted model, not a curated record. NCBI's taxonomy places the organism in Eukaryota, Metazoa, Chordata, Actinopteri, Carangiformes, Carangidae.
CGCAGGUGGAGCCGGAAGGAGACGGAGAGAGGAGAAGUGAGGGAAGAGCAGCAGAUACGAAUCGCUCGGUCGUUUGCUUCGGACUUCUCAUGACCUGGAAUACUUUUAUAAGGAUUUUGAUUUUUGUGAUGUGUGGACCCUUACGGACUAAAGGAAUAUGAGGAAUGAAGAGAGAACCGGAGUUUUACACAUCUAAACGAUCACAGCACUGAUGUGACGACAGCUGACAGGUCCAGUUAGAGGGGGGUGUGGACCGGCCAACUCGCUCUGCGGUGCUUUUCAUGGAUGAGGUCCUUCUAUUCAGUGAAGACAUGGAAGAAUCAAUUCCUGCAGAUUCACCCAGCGUCUGCAGACACCAGCCUCGGCUCACCUGUACUCUCUUGAUAUACUGAGUGACACCGACCACAUGUCAUCGAUCCACACGAGGGGCUCUGAGGACCACCUGCCACCCCGCGACGCUGCU